AGUGAACGCUGGCGGUAGGCCUAACACAUGCAAGUCGAACGGCAGCACAGUAAGAGCUUGCUCUUACGGGUGGCGAGUGGCGGACGGGUGAGGAAUACAUCGGAAUCUACUUUUUCGUGGGGGAUAACGUAGGGAAACUUACUCUAAUACCGCAUACGACCUACGGGUGAAAGCAGGGGAUCUUCGGACCUUGCGCGAUUGAAUGAGCCGAUGUCGGAUUAGCUAGUUGGCGGGGUAAAGGCCCACCAAGGCGACGAUCCGUAGCUGGUCUGAGAGGAUGAUCAGCCACACUGGAACUGAGACACGGUCCAGACUCCUACGGGAGGCAGCAGUGGGGAAUAGUGGACAAUGGGCGCAAGCCUGAUCCAGCCAUACCGCGUGGGUGAAGAAGGCCUUCGGGUUGUAAAGCCCUUUUGUUGGGAAAGAAAAGCAGCAGGUUAAUACCCCGCUGUUCUGACGGUACCCAAAGAAUAAGCACCGGCUAACUUCGUG
This 492-nucleotide ribosomal RNA is filed under the name uncultured bacterium. Its description in RNAcentral is "partial 16S ribosomal RNA". It matches the Rfam family "Bacterial small subunit ribosomal RNA", at positions 29 to 507 of the family's 1533-position model. The record is from RNAcentral.